GGAUUGUGCCGUUGGCCAGACACCCUCCGUGCCAUGAUGGGGAGCACAACAAGUUGGGGAACGCGUGGUAUGCCACACCCGGUAACUUCGAAAAAGGCUGCGACUGACUUAAAGAAGCAGCAUGGAUGUUAAGAAUAAGUGGACCGGUAUGUCUACACGUAAGAGAAAAUGUGGUAAACGUGUUAUCUCUACACAAACAGCAAUGAAGACCUCACACAGUAAGUGUUCAGAUAAUUAAAAAUUAUUUUGUAGAAGUACCCCUUACUGGGGGGCAGGUCCUACACACUUCCCAGUUGGAAGGGAAUUACAUGCUGCCUUGAGAUCAUCUAUGGAGAUUAGGCACUUAAUGUUAUCUAAAGUGUCUUCCACAAUGCUACCUUUUACAAGGCAAGAAAUGUAUUCUAAAAUGAAGUUUCAUGUGGAUCCAUAACAAGGCUUUAGUGAUGAUAUGAGGUUUGUAAGGUUUCCGAGAUGUUGUAAGGUUUCCGAGAGAAGGUGCAUUGAUAAGAUGGGUGUAGUUUGUGCUACUUUAUUGCCCUCUUGGUAGUGAUGGGAUAAGGAAUGGACAAAAGACUUGACUUUACUUUAGCAUUUAAAGGAUACUAAGUUUAUUUCUGGCUUUGCGAGUUUCUAAAAUAUUAGGUCUGACAAUUUUAGUUCAUUCUGGAUAUCACCUUAAUUAGGUGAGAUUGUCUUUUGUUAAAGGGACAAGCACCAGGACCACAUUAGUGAUUCUAAGUAGUUAUGGUGCCUGCACUCUGUACAUACAGCAUUUGGCUAUGAAACACUCCAUAUACUGAGCUUAGCCCCUUUGCUGACAUAGGUGUAACCCCACUUCCAGCAGCAUCAUUUAUUUGCACAUAAUUGCAUUCAUUAGUUGAGAGUGGAUAGGGUGACCAGAUCCAUCAAGUUUUCAAGGACUCGUAUCACAUAUACGAAUUUAUGGAUAGCACAUGAAAAGGUGUAGUUUGUAGAACUCAGAAGAAGGUGUAUAAGAUUACGUAAUUAGGAAAUAAAGAAUCCUGCAGAAUACGCAUAACACACUGCACAGCAAUCCUUUUCAUGCUUUUUUUUUUUUUACAAAUAUGACAAAUUAUGUGUUCCUGAAAACAUGGUAGAUGUGGUCACACUAAAAAUGGUCAGCUGACACUGAGCCAAGGAAUGGCUGGUAGAAUUGGCAUCUGCAGCAUCACCAUUACCAUAGAGAAGCCUCAGCGUCUGAUGGGACCCAGGGGAGAGGGCAAAGUGUUGCAAAAUGGUUUGCCCCAUUAACACGAAACUGGGUCAGGGUAUUCCUGGCAUCAUAACCACUGAAUUAGGUUUCACUUAAACAUUAGACUUUAGAGGUUAUUAUGCUUGGAGUAACCUUUUAAUGUGGGUGAAUAGGCAAAUGAUGGCACCCCUUACUACACAUUUAUGGACUUCCCAAACCACCAUGGAAGUGGAACAUCUUUUUGAUUCUCUUAAAAGUAAUUGGAAAUGUGUUGAGGUAAGUUGUGAGGUCACCUCUGGUCAUCAAAAAGUGAGCAAAAGUGUCACAAGUGUGUAAAAGUUAGGCAUAGGGACAAUGUGGGUUAGUCACAUCCAGGUAUUGACUGAGUUGGUGGAUGUCCUAGGUUUUGUUGUGUAUAGGUGCCAUAUUGAGAUGUGCAUGUGAAAGCAACAGGUAGGAACAGGUAGUCCAGAUGGGAAUACUGCCUAUAAGGGUAAGAAAAGUAUAUCUAUGGGGCGUGGAAUUGUGUAUGCACCAGACAUCUACCAAGCGAGCCUUGUGUAGAGCAGCACAUAACUUACAAAUUUGGGAUAGCAGAGGAGAGAACUUGCCCGUGGAGGAGUCCAGACCAGGAUUCAUGGGAAUGUUCAAAUCCCCAUUGAACACUAGGAUUCCCUCUGUAAAGGAUGACAGUUGGUGAAUGACCUUCAAUAGAAAGAAUAUUUGAUUAGUGUCAGGAGCAUAAACGUUUGCUGAAGAAAACAUCAAGCCCUGUAUUUGAGCCCUGAUAAAAAUGUACCUGCCUGAAAGGUCAUUUUGGCAAAGUGUUGGAAUAGCCAGUAGAUUUUCCACCCCUUAUAAGAGAUCAAAAUGCCAGAAACCUAUGUGGCCAGAGGGACAAAGGGAGAACAGCAGGCAAUGCUUCAAAUUAACUAAUCUUCAGAAUUAAGAGCAGGAUCUGGCGCAACCAUUAGGCAUACUAGGCAUUCACCUAGGGCGCCGGCCUAAAGGGGGCGCCUACCGGGAUAUUUCCUGGUGGGCUCCCUUGUCCUGGAGCCACCCCCUUCAGCGCCGGGCCAAUCAUCCAGGCUGAAUGUCUAAUUCUGUGUGUCAGUGAGUGUGUGAGUGUUUGACUGUCAAUGAGUGUGUUUGUGUGUCUGUCAGUGAGUGAGUGUAUGUAUGUCAGUUAGUGUCUGUAUGUGAGUGUAAUUUGUCAGUGAGUGUAUGUAUGUCAGUGGGUGUCUGUCUGUGUGUGUCAGUGAGUGGGUGUAUGUCUUUCAGUGAAUGUGUGUCUGUCAGUGAAUGUCUGUGUGUCUGUCAGUGAGUGUCUGUCUGUGUGUCUGUCUGUCAGUGAGUGUGUGUGUAUGUCGGUGAGUGUGCGUGUCGGCCAGUGAGUGUAUGUCUGUCAUUGAGUGUGUGUGCCUGCCAGCAUGUGUCUGUCAGUGAGUGAGUGACAUGAGGAGGCGGCAAAAUGGAUCUUUGCCUAGGGCGGCAGAAAUCCUUGCACUGGCCCUGGUUACGAGUCACAGUAGCAAAAAUUUAAUGCUUUACAUUUUUAAGUUUUUGUUGCUGUCGCAUUUUGUCAUUUGAUGCCCUCUGGCUUUUGUGAAUAAAUUCUUAAGAUUAUUUAAUUGGAUACAUUGCUUGCUGUUCGGCCUCUUUGCUUCACUGAUGACUGUGUAGUAUAAUGAGUUUUUCUACAUAUGUUUUUUAUUAUAUGGUGUAGAGCAGCAACAUAUACAACAGCACAAUGGGUGUAAUGUAUUUAUAUAAUAUAUUUAUAUUUAUAUGUGCAUGUGUGUGCAUUUAAAGACUUGUGUUAAGAGACAGCACAUUCUCUAUAUAGUUAUUGCCAACAGUAAACGAAAAAUGUAAUUUUUAUACAUCAUUUUAUGACACCUUCCAUCUCAUUCUAUUCAGUAACCAAAUAAAACCAGUUUUACUCUUUGCCCACCUACAUAUAAUUCCUUUGCAGUAGGUUUCAAAAUUAGAUGCAACAACCUUUUCUAGGGCACUCUGUUCAGAUUAAACUUGUUAGAACAUUUGCAUAUAUAUAUAUAUAUAUAUAUAUAUAUAUAUAUAUAUAACGACUAGAGCAGAGGCAAGUGUGUGGCCACAUAGUCAUCAGGUGGCCAGAUUGCAUUAAUUUGGUCAGGAGUGUCUAAAGGGAACCUUGUUGUCAGAAGACUACAGUCAGUGUGUAAAUGACCUACUGUGACCUACAUUACUGGUAAUAAAUUAUGUAACCGAACAUGGUCUGUGGGAUAGACUCCCAAUGCCACAGAAUUGGAUGUUUGUUGCAGAGUGCCAAUGCGAUGCCUUAGCAUAUGUGAAGAUGCAAUACAGGGAAGGGUACAAGCCACAGUAGGUAAUAGAUGGCGUCUCCAAGUAAUUGUGGGAAAUGAUAAGGAAUUUAAGCCCCAAGAGUAGUCUCUAUGAAACACAAGUGAAUCCAGCAUGAACUGGAGGCACGUUGGCAGUAUAUAGUGAAACUAGAAGUUAUGACAGGUAAACACUGGCCCAAAGACUAAGGGGGAAACUCUGGGCUGAUUGUCAUUGGGUUAGUAUGAUGUGUUAGAGAUGAGAAAUCAUAUUUACACAACUUUCCCAUUUCAUGCUUUAGUCUUGAAAAGGGGAGGUUCUCCCGAAAAUUUGUCAUUACAGAAUUCUGUUAGUUCAACAAAAAGUUAUUACAACAUAUGGAUUUCCUCUGUUAUUUUACAUAAAUAUAUAUAUAUACAUAUAUAUAUAUGUGAAACACUACAUCCUUGCACUCGGGCUAUUGAGUCCAUAUUUUGCCAGAUGCAUUAAAUCUUUCAUCAGGAUUCUUCGAUCCUGAUGAAAGUCCCGUAAGUGGACUGAAACGAUGAUCUGUUUUUACUGAUUUCUUCAAUAAAGACUUGAAUUUUUAACAGAAGACCAUGAGUGUAGCUACCUAUUCUACUCUCUCUCUCUCUCUCUCUCUCUCUCUAUAUAUAUAUAUAUAUAUACACACACAUAUAUAUAUAUAUAUAGACUUGUAAUCAAAAUUAUUCAUCACCCAUGGAAAAUUAGGUUUGUUGUCAAAACUAAGAGACUUUCAGCUGUUUGCAAUGAACAAAUCAAACAAAAGCAAUUGAAAUGGCUCAACACAACAAUUAUUUCAAGUGUUUUUCCCCAAAUGCAACUAAAAAUGCAACUUAUAAUGACUAAUGCAGUUAUAAAUAUUCAACCCCCUGAAUAAAAUCUCUCACAACAGAAUAAAUAUGCAAAGCAGGUGUUGUCCCCCACCUGAUGCAGCUAAGCAAGGGCUUCAUUAGUUGCACCAGGUGUGCUUAAAGCUGGAACACAUUAAAUACUUGAACUGGCUAGGAGUUUGUGUCACAUUUAACUGCAUGUUAGAAAUAUGCCUAAGUCAAAGGAAUAGUCCACAAAAUUAAGAAAAUAAUUCAUCACCCUUCACAAACAAGGAACAGGAUACAAAAAGAUAGCGAAGGCACUGACUGUUCCUAGAGACACCGCUGGAAGCAUAAUUCUCAAGUUCAAAGUUGAAGGAACAGUGGUCACACUGCCUGGGCGGGACAGAAAAAGGAAGCUAUCAAUUGCAGCAAGCAGAUUGUGACAAACCCUCAAGUGACCACAAAUCAUAUAAAAUCAGGGAUGUAAUUGGGGGCUCUUGCUGGGUUUAAGUGUAGAUGUCUAGUUGAGAGGAGAGAGUGGAGUUGUAGAGGGAGGUUGCAGUAUUAGGGCAGGUGAGGUUUGAGAUGGGUUGGUGAAGAAUCGUUGUAGGUCAAAAAAGUGGAGGUUUCUGGGAGAUUGAUGUGGUGAGGGUGGUUAAUUUGUGUAUGGGGUAUGCUGAUGUCAAAAGUCAGAAGGUAGUUGUCAGAUAGAGGUAGUUGUCAGAUAGAGGAAAUUGAACUUUGGAGAGAUGGGUGAAGAUGAGUUCAACAGUGUUUCUUGCUGUAUGAGUUGCUGAGUUAGACCACUGUCUGAGUCCAAAAGAGGAGGUUACAGAGAGCAGACGAGAGUCCUUUAAGGCAGUUGGGGUUGUUGAUUGGGAUAUCAAAGUCCACAAGAAUGAGGGAAGAAGUGCUAGAGAAGAGGAAAUGGGGUAGCCAGGAAGAAGAGUGUUAAAUAAAUAGCCUAGGAUGACCGGUGGGGGGGGUGGAGUCUAAAUUGAUGGCAAUUCUUAGAGGAGUGGGCUUAAAUAGGCGGACAGUGUGAACUUCAAAGGAAGGAAAACAUAGGGCAUGAGCAGGGAAGAUUGGUUGAGGCCUACACCACCUUCUUUACAGUUGUUUGGUUUGGGAGUGUGGGAGAAUUGUAGCCCACUGAAACAUAAAGAAGCAGGAGUAGGGCUAUCAGAGGGGAUGGUUAGGUCUCAGUGAGUGCAAGUAGCGCAAAACAAUUUGAGAUGAAAAGGUCGUGUAUGGCUGUUGAUUUCAUACUGCUGCAGAUGGAGUGGGCGUUCCAGAAUAGACUUGAACCCAUAGAAAAUCUCUGGUGGGAUUUGAAGAAGGCGGUUGCUGCACGCAAACCUAAUAGGCUAAGAUUGCUCAGGAACACUGCCAGAAGCUGGUGUAUGGCUAUGCAUCUUGUUUGUAAGCACCAAAGAUAGUUUCCAUGAAGGGGUGUAAAAAUUGUGAGACUGGAGAAAUCAUAAUAAGUUGCAUUUUUCUGUUGAAUUUGAAACCACUCAAAGCAUUCAUUGUGUUGACUCAAAGCAUUCUUUGUGUUGAGAUAUAUUUUAAUUGUUUUGUUCAUUGCAAACCGCUGAAAGUCUGUCAAUUUUGACAAUAAUCUUAAUUUUCAAUGAUUUUGAUUGUAUAUCUAUCUAUCCAUUUAUCUACACACACACACAUAUGUAUGUGUGUGACUUUUUUUAAAAAUUAGCAUUUGCAGGAAAACAUCUGACAUAACAUAGAAUUUCUGUGAAUACCACAUUUGGAACAUAUAUAACAUGCAUGUUUAGGGCUGAAACGUUGCAUAUUGUUAGUUUUUUAGAAGAAACACAAAAACAUAGACAGAGACUGAAAGAUUUUCUCAUAGUUUUGUGUUUGUGGCCCUACAUUUACUUGAGAAUGUUGCAAGAAGCCACUGCAAGGGACUGGUUUGCUCUUUCUGGAGUCAUGGGACACAUGACUAAUGGAUAUGACCAAUCAAGGUAGAGCAGUAGAAUCUAGAUUUCAAGCAGAGGUGAAAGGGCAGGAGAGGACUUAACAAAAGGAUAAAGAGACUCUGCACACAGAGCAAUUCUAUUAGGUGAACAAGACAUAACAGUGAGGCAGCAAUAUGUCUGCAUGAUCCUGUGACACAGAUAUUGACUCUGCUCUCUAAUUAUAGGUUGCUGAAUGAGAAAGAGGUUGUGACAUAACAUCUUUUAUCCUGACCAUGCUCACAUUCAAGCUAGCCAUGACAGUACAUUGUGGACUGCUGCCAAUGUUUGUGAGUCUAGAAAACAAAAAGACUGGCUCAAACCAUGCUGCUUCAUCAGAUACUUAUCUUGAUCGUCAUUGAGACCUAACCGACUGACGACCUAAAAGCUGAAAGUGGCGAACAAUCUCUCAACUUGAGCUAUGCUCUGUUGAAGCAAAACCCUGUUGCCCCCUCUUCUUUUGGGGGAUAUUUCCGUCCCCGCUGGGAAAGAUACUCAAUCUGCACUAUUGGAAGAAUUUCUUGCUGUUCCAGAGACCAUGUGGUGUGUCUAUGAUGACCACUGCACUAAAACUCCAGCAGAGUAAAGAAGAAUGGAAAGGUCAGACAUGGAAGGAACUCUUAGAUGCAAAAGAUUUGUUGGGUGAUCUGGGACUAUAUUAACAGCCGAUAUCACUUCCUAACUACAAGUACCAAAUCACAGACACAAGCCAAUACUACAGCUCAUGGUUCUUCUUUCACUUGGAGCAGCAAUUCUUCCCAUAGCCCAGAGUCCUAGAGUCCCAGAGGGCUCUUUGUGACAUGGAGUUCCUGGAGGGCUUCAAUCCGGCACCUUGGAG
This is a non-coding RNA of Pelobates cultripes (western spadefoot toad), 7185 nucleotides long. The record is from the annotation of a GenBank genome assembly. NCBI's taxonomy places the organism in Eukaryota, Metazoa, Chordata, Amphibia, Anura, Pelobatidae.